Molecule: long non-coding RNA, 858 nt
Filed under: Heterocephalus glaber (naked mole-rat)
Lineage: Eukaryota; Metazoa; Chordata; Mammalia; Rodentia; Bathyergidae
Description: lncRNA (ENSHGLG00100043609.1)
Source: RNAcentral
GUGGCUGUUUGGGGAAGAGCCCCUACGAGACAGCUCUCAGGGCUCCAGCGAGCGGCGGGAGGGAAGCCUGCAGGACUCUGUUCCCUCUGUUUAAAGUCUCCAGAUGAUGUCAUGUGUGAACGUCGCCCAGCCAGAGGCAGCCAGAGGACAGGGACUGGUGACAUCCGGGGAAAGGACGCCAGGUGGGGACGGGCCUGCCGGUUUAGCAGACGGUGGCGCCGAGCUGGAGGAUCUUCCUUCUCCUGAAGAGUGACAGUGAUCGCAUGUAAAAGAAUGCAGUGCGGGAUAAAAAUAAAUCGGGGCCAUAAAUAAAGGUGGAAUUUAGAAUUGCUGGAGCAAGUAACGGUGUCUCUCCUCACAGGCGGGCACCUGCGCCUCUACUCGUGGCCAGCCACUGGGGGGCGCCCGCCGCCUCCUCAUCCGCAGGUCUGAACGGAGGGCGACACAGGCCCCUGCCCAGGCCCAGCCUCUGCUUCCCUUCCUGCUGAGGCUCCCUGUCACGCGUGCUGGCAUCUUCCUGCACCUCGUCCUGGGCAGGCGUGACCUCAGGCGCCCAACAGGCUGGGGGAGUGAAGUCAUUUCCAGAACAGCACCCCCAUUAGAAGCCCAGGCUGCUCCUCCCAGUCCCUGUGGGCCCCACAGAAAAAAAGUUGAAUCCAUGCAACAGGUGUGGAACCCCGGAUCACCUGCAUGGCGCCAUCCUUCUCUCUGAACCUCGGGGUCCUUCCUUGUUAAAUAAAGCCAAGAUCUGGAAGAUUGUUUUUAAAUUUUUAAAAUUUUUAUUUGCUUGUUUUUUUAAAGCGGGCCUCGAUAUGUAGUCCAGGCUGCCCUUGAGCUCACUAUGGACCCCAGGCUGGC